CCGACCUUAGCUCAGUUGGUAGAGCGGAGGACUGUAGAAGGUGAAGGGCCUGUUAGCCAUCCUUAGGUCGCUGGUUCGAAUCCGGCAGGUCGGA
RNAcentral lists this transfer RNA (94 nucleotides) under Manihot esculenta (cassava). It matches the Rfam family "tRNA". From Rfam's summary of the family: Transfer RNA (tRNA) molecules are approximately 80 nucleotides in length. Lineage: Eukaryota; Viridiplantae; Streptophyta; Magnoliopsida; Malpighiales; Euphorbiaceae. The record is from Rfam by way of RNAcentral.